This 103-nucleotide microRNA precursor is filed under the name Fragaria vesca subsp. vesca. RNAcentral's name for it is "Fragaria vesca miR11288e stem-loop (fve-MIR11288e)". Lineage: Eukaryota; Viridiplantae; Streptophyta; Magnoliopsida; Rosales; Rosaceae. The record is from miRBase by way of RNAcentral.
GGUCUUCUAUCAGCGAUUCGUCAGAUUCCAAUUCAAACUGAGUAGUCGGAUGGUCGACUGUAAAGAGUUUGAAGUGGGAUUUGGCGAAUUGAGGGUCAAGAUU